This 504-nucleotide ribosomal RNA is filed under the name uncultured bacterium. RNAcentral describes it as "bacterial SSU rRNA". It matches the Rfam family "Bacterial small subunit ribosomal RNA", at positions 17 to 518 of the family's 1533-position model. The record is from RNAcentral.
UUCUGGCUCAGGAUGAACGCUGGCGGCGUGCCUAAUACAUGCAAGUCGAGCGAGAACUUGAUGAUCGAAGAUUCGUCUGAAAGAUUCAAGGGAAAGCGGCGGACGGGUGAGUAACGCGUAGGCAACCUGCCCUUAGCAGAGGGAUAGCCAUUGGAAACGAUGAUUAAAACCUCAUAACGCUUUAGAGACACAUGUCUUUAAAGCCAAAGAUUUAUCGGCUAAGGAUGGGCCUGCGUCUGAUUAACUGGUUGGUGAGGUAACGGCUCACCCAAGGUGACGAUCAGUAGCCGACCUGAGAGGGUGAUCGGCCACAUUGGAACUGAGACACGGUCCAAACUUCUACGGAAGGCAGCAGUAAGGAAUCUUGCACAAUGGGGGAAACCCUGAUGCAGCAACGCCGCGUGAACGAAGAAGGCCUUCGGGUUGUAAAGUUCUGAUCUUGGGGAAGAAGGAAGUGACGGUACCCAAGGAGAAAGCCCCGGCUAACUACGUGCCAGCAGCUGC